Molecule: non-coding RNA, 157 nt
Filed under: Elusimicrobiota bacterium
Lineage: Bacteria; Pseudomonadati; Elusimicrobiota
Description: Elusimicrobia bacterium c-di-GMP sequence
Rfam family: c-di-GMP-I riboswitch aptamer
About the family: GEMM was predicted in a large-scale screen for bacterial structured RNA regulatory elements. Genes associated with GEMM are involved in a diverse array of functions, including chemotaxis regulation, signal transduction, secretion and chitin.
Source: RNAcentral
UUAUGAAGUUGGCAAACCCAUCGAAAGAUGGGGACGCAAAGCCGUUCGCCGGCUGUUAUCGCGGCGAAGCCCGUCGGAAAAAAGAGUCCGGCGGGUACGGGCCUAAAGUUCCGGUAAUUUUUUUGAUUACCGGUUCCAGGGUGGCCGGGUUGCCGAA